UUGGGGUACGCCAACGGCCCGGAUAGACGGGGUUAAAAUGAAGGGUCACCAUUUCAAAAAUGAAACUCUAAUUGCAGAAGGGAACUUCAUUUGAAAUGGAGACAGCUUAGGCCUGCAAACUCCCGCCUACACUCCACCUACUGUGGCGGGCCUAUCUGCUUAAAACCCUUUUCAUAUUCCAUCUCUCUCUCUACCGAUGCAUCCACUCCCUCUCUCUCUCUAAACCACACGAAAUCAACUACCAUUCACUUUCUCUCUCAAAAACCAGAUGAGCCCUAUCUCUCCCUCGUGCCGUCUCUCUCUCUAAACCAGAAAUACAGUCUCUCUCUCCAUUUUCCUCUCUAUCAUUCACAAACUACAGGAGCCCUAAUGCACCCUCAUGCCCUCUCUCUCUCUAAACCAGAAGUAUAGGGGAGGCCCUACCAAACUGACGUCUCCCUCUCUCUGCGCCUCUCAUACGAGAACAAAAGUGAAAGCCCUAUCUUAAUCGUAGUCACAGAGGUCUAGACCUUUGAACUAGGCAGCAUUUCAUCAAUUUCCACUAGUGCUGAAGGAUAUCCACGGCGAACCUGUCCACGAUGCAGCUUACAAUGUAACUGAUGUAUAUCAAGCUCCCGAUCUAACCUAGGAAGAAUGUACUACUGGUGUCCAAAUUGUACUUUUUUCCAAAGGUAUGAUGUAUAUAUGGAAGGGAUGAAUUAUGAUGUAAAGUUGUGGCGUCGUGAUAUACACCAAAACAAUCAGUUACAAGAAUUGCAAGAGCAUAUUAUGGUCAAGCCUGAACCGAUGGUCAUUCAAUAACAAAUUGUUGAUACUUUAGGACAUAUGCAACAAUUUAUAUUUUUCUUGUGUGUAGUGAAUGCGAUUAUGUUUGUAUUACCUUUGUUGAAAAGUGUUUGAUAUCACUAGAUGGUGUCACAACCCAUGAAACAAUUAUUGGUGUUGAUAUUGGAUUUACAUUAGAGUAAAUUAAAGUCAAUAUGAUU
Amborella trichopoda is the source of this 986-nucleotide long non-coding RNA. RefSeq lists it as uncharacterized. The record is from RefSeq and is a predicted model, not a curated record. NCBI's taxonomy places the organism in Eukaryota, Viridiplantae, Streptophyta, Magnoliopsida, Amborellales, Amborellaceae.